RNAcentral lists this ribosomal RNA (552 nucleotides) under uncultured bacterium. RNAcentral describes it as "bacterial SSU rRNA". It matches the Rfam family "Bacterial small subunit ribosomal RNA", at positions 94 to 715 of the family's 1533-position model. The record is from RNAcentral.
AGUGGCAAACGGGUGAGUAACACGUAAACAACCUGCCUUCAGGAUGGGGACAACAGACGGAAACGACUGCUAAUACCGAAUACCUGAAGAGGGGUUUGCGUCUGAUUAGGUAGUUGGUGAGGUAACGGCCCACCAAGCCGACGAUCAGUAGCCGGUCUGAGAGGAUGAACGGCCACACUGGAACUGAGACACGGUCCAGACUCCUACGGGAGGCAGCAGUGGGGAAUCUUCCGCAAUGGGCGAAAGCCUGACGGAGCAACGCCGCGUGAGUGAUGACGGCCUUCGGGUUGUAAAGCUCUGUGAUCGGGGACGCGGUACCCGAAUAGCAAGCCACGGCUAACUACGUGCCAGCAGCCGCGGUAAUACGUAGGUGGCAAGCGUUGUCCGGAAUUAUUGGGCGUAAAGCGCGCGCAGGCGGUUCUUAAGUCCAUCUUAAAAGUGCGGGGCUUAACCCCGUGAUGGGAUGGAAACUGAGAGCUGGAGUAUCGGAGAGGAAAGUGGAAUUCCUAGUGUAGCGGUGAAAUGCGUAGAGAUUAGGAAGAACACCGGUGG